AAUCUCCUACUCGAGUGAAUAGGAUAAAAACUUCUCGCUGUUGAAUUGACAAAAAAUCCAUUUCAAAAAAUCAUAACUAAAGUUCUCUUACUACAUGAGUAGUAGAAAGUUUUUAUCCAGCCAUUGGAGGCAGGAAAUUAAUUCUAUUAGUAUGCAUGAUUACACAGUAGAUAACAAUACAACAAAGAACUAACGCAUGUUAACUUCUUUGCUUUGUCACAUCUAAGUUACUAGACAUGCAAUAAAAUGUUCAAAAUGCAGGAAAAAGACACCCAUUGGACACCUUCCAAUUCUUAGAGGGCGUCAACAAAAACUCUUUCACAAAAUUGAGUGCAGUCUAAAGUAAGUGAACUUUUUUAAGCUUUAGACAAACAUGUUCUUUAUCUGCCUCCUAUUUUAUGCAUCUCAUGCAAAUUUAGAAACAGGCAAGGGGAAAACACUGUAAAAAGCCAAUGGCUCAGAAUAACAUAGCUCCAGUUUGUGGAUGUAAUAAACAGGAAGAUAUCCAAAGGGUUCCCAAGGCCGAUGAAAUAGCAAAUACAAAGGGGUUACUGGUCUAAGUUUCAAACAUGUGAUCAAAUGAAAUUGAAUAAAAUGUCACAUAUUUAGAAACUGUCUGAGCUACCAUGAGCCCUCAGCGCCAAGGGUAGGAUUCUCGAAAGCAGAGAAAUUCCAAAAAGUCUUCAAUGAAUAGGGGGGAGAAAUUGUUACUCCCUCUUCUGUGAUUUUUGCAAUCUGCAUUUACACAAUCAAUUCUGUGUCAUGGAAAUAUUCAUCUCACAAGAAAGUUCGACCUAAUAUCAUGUCACUUGAAACAUUCCACUGUAUCAACUACUUUGGCUUAAAUAAGGAUAUCCUCAGGCAGCAAAGUUUGAAGAAUUAAGCCUUCCCCUUCAACAAACUCAAUAUAAUUUAACGUAAUAUAUUUUUGAUAAAAUGAAACUAUGCUUACCUAGAGGAAAAAACUAACAGAGAAAUGGCACCAAUAAUAUACAAGUCACAACAAAGACAGCUCCCAAUAACUUUGCUUAGCUCAAACUACAGCAAAAUCUAGCUCAUCUUAAAGAUUAAAAUCAAGUAAUAUUUACCAAAAAUUAUAACAAAAGUUCACUUCAUCCACUUCCAAUGCAAUGCAUAAAUCACAUUGUGUGAAACGGGUAAUGGGCUUCGAUUACCUCUUAUAUCCUCCCCCAUCCAUGAUUUCUCAGCUGCCCUCUUUUUGGUUAGAGUAGCCAGAUUAAUAUAUAAUUAGAUGUUAAUGUAAAUGAACCAUAACUAUGU
Molecule: long non-coding RNA, 1281 nt
Filed under: Olea europaea subsp. europaea
Lineage: Eukaryota; Viridiplantae; Streptophyta; Magnoliopsida; Lamiales; Oleaceae
Source: RNAcentral